ACAAAAAGAAAAAAAAAGAAAGAAGAAGAAGAAAAAAAAAAGAAAAAAAUGGGUGUGUGGGAAAGAGCUGCUUCUGGCUUUCGAGCCCCUUUUAGCUCCUUGAGUAUCAGUUUCAAGACUCUUCCCAGAUUCUGGGGUAGACAGGUGCUUCAGUUAAGUCACGAGGUGACCUAGGCGAGCGUGUUCACAAAUGGUGUCCCAGGAGUGCUGCGGAAAGAGACCUAUGUACUGUACUCCAGGGGCGGCCACCGCCAUCCCUUCUGGCCAUGUCACAUCAGAGCCAGGGGACCCUAUAUACAGUACCUUCCAGAUCUUUCCUGUCCAAGAGAAUAUUAUCCUGUGUAGACAGACUGUUUUGAUUAUCUAUUGCUGUGAAACAAACUACCCCAAACUCACUGCUUCGAAACAACGGCCACCACCACUCCUGGUGGUCUUCCACGAGGCUGGGGUUGCCUGGGCUCUGUGGGGCUGUUCUUCUGCUCCGUGUGUUGUCAAGUGGGCUGCAACGUCCAGAGGACUCACUCAUGGGGUUGGCCCUUGGUGCUGGGUGCUGGCUGGGCGCUCGCUGGGGCUGCUGAUGAGAAUGGGGGAGAGGUUUUGGUGCUUCUCCUUAUGGCUCCUUUCUGCAUGGUGGCUGCGUUCCCAGAGGGAGUGCUCUAGGCAGACAAAACCUGAAGCCAGGGGUCUCGUAAGGCCUAGCUAGUUUCACUCCUGCCACACUCCAGUGGCCACAGCCACUCACGGCGUCAGCGCAAUUGGUUUCAGUUUUCCAAGGGAGACGUGGCAAAGGAUUUGAAGCGAUCUUGAAUUCACUGCAUCGCUGGUUAGACUGCUGACCUGCCACGGGGCUUGUGUGACGGGGGAGAGGCUGCUCGUCUCCAGGAGAAGCGUGGGUACACUGGCACUGACGAAGUUUUGGAGACAGAGUUUCGAGUGAAGCAGAAAGAACAGCCUUCUUGCUUUGCCAGGCAAAGGAGGCCACCGCAGGAUAGUGCCUCCAAACGGUGUCCUCUCUUGAGAGGGGCCGGCAAGGGGGUUUAAUGGCUUUAAUUUGAAAAAACAGGGCUGUCGAUAAGGACUGGGGGGCCUGCCUUCUUCUCCCUCCAUAGAUCAUUCCAAAGCCAUUAAGGCUGGAGUCAGGGGCUCCGGUGAUGUUUUCUGGUGGUCUUUGGGGUUAUUGCCCCUUGACCUUUUCUCCUCAGCGAGGAUCGCUUACAAGGGGACGGUGGGUUGGGGAGCGUUUCAAAGGAAAAAAACCACCACGAGCGAUAUAACUCUAACGAGGCACCAUUAGUUAAUGAACGCAGUUGAGCAAGGAAGAAAUCAUUUGUGAAAAGCUGGUUAGAGCAAGUGAGUGCGCCCAGGCAGGGCGUAGCUAGUAUCAGGGAGACUCAACUAGUUUUCAGCUGUAUCAGUAUUUCCUUCCUAAUCAUGCACUCUUGAGUCAGCCUUUGGGACCUGAGAGGCCUGGGCAGCUAAAGGAAAAAAGCCUUUUACUUCAAAACACAAGGACUCAAGGGCUUUUCAGAGUUUCACCUGCGAAGCAUUGAUGGGAGGUGGGAAGGCACCAGGCUUCCGGGGGAGCCCCCGCCUCUUCCCGAGGGAAACUCCACAGGCACCACGGCGUCAGCCAGACCUCUGGGUCUCAGCUUCAUCAGAGAUCCUUUAUUUUCUUGGAGUAUGUUGGGUGCUAUAAAUAUUUCAAGGGACCCAGAGAGAGCCUGGAAUCAAGCAAAGAAAAUGGCCCAAAAUGAUUAGUUGAUCGUUAUCAAAGAACCAGAAGGAUGUCAAGAUUUGGGGGACUGGCCACCAAGAUGGACCAGGCCAAGGCAUGCCCUGCUCGCUGGGACAGGGCCUUGGCGGUGGACGGAGGACUGAGGACACAGUGAUGGGGAAAGGGGCCAAUGAGCGUGGAUGAGGAAUGGUGCUGGCCCGACACUGGCCACUACUCAGCUAAGAGCCACCACUCAUGGCGCCAUCUUGAACUCACCGUGUCCCUUCCCCUGGGCUCUGCAUUUUCCUUCCCUCAAAUAGCACCUUGGGAACAUCUUCCCCCAUCAGCUGGUGACAGACAGUCUCUGCCAAGUGUUUGGUGACUUCAUAGAGGAAAGAGGCUGCCUGGAAAUACAUUCCAUUGGAUAUUAAAGAAUGUAUUUCCCUGAUUUACGCCAGGCAAGGCAGGGAUGUCUGAGAGGCGAGGAACCAAUGGCCAUAUCCACUUUGACUAAUGAUUAAUUAUUCUAUCUAAAGUGAUGUUUUCCCAUCAACUGAGAGGGUAGAAAAAUAGACUACAGCUUGCCAGGUUCGCCCCACAGGUCACAGAUGUUGCCUCUGCAUUUUCAGAUUGUAUUAUCCAUUACAGACGGUAUCUUCUCAUUUAGAAACAUAAUUUGUUGUUCUCGCAGACCGGGGAAAAAAAAAAAGCAAAAAAGCUGACAUUUCACAUGCAAGUCAAAGAUUAGCAUCACGGCCCAGGACCACAUAUGGAAGCACAUGAGGAUGUGGAGUCCCCGACUCUAGAACAGGAGGCUUCUGCUAAGAGAGAUGUAGAAGGCAGUGACUUCUGAACUUUAUUAUGCAAAUGCGAAGCCCAGAGAGCCCGGCUGUUUAACCUCAUCAGGGGAAAUGUCACUGAUCAUUUCAAGCUCCGAGUGUAACACAGGCAUUAGUACUAUUAUGUUAUGAUUAUUAUUAUUAUUAUUUGCAGGGCAUGAUGUAAGCCCGAGCCCUCUGAUUAAGCUGAGUCUCUCAUGCUCAGUCCCUCUGGGCUUGAAAAUCAACUCUUCUUGAUAUUAAACAAACCAACAUACAAACAACAUAUAUUUUUGUUCUUUCUCUUUGAUGUUUGUGGAUGGGCUGCCUCCAGAUCUGACGUCCAUCAGGCAGGGGGAAGAUGGUGAGAGUUUUACAGCAUCCAGUUGCCACCCUCAGGUGCUGCCUCUCCUUCUGGCUCUUCUGGGACCUUCUACCCCCACGACAGAGGUGUUCAGAGAUGCUGGGGCAGGAGAGAGGGACAUAUCUUGGGUUGGGGAGAUGCUGAGGAGGAUGGAGACAAGAGGGAUACUGCACGAGUCUGGAUAAGGAGGGGAAAGGUCCUUCUGUCCCCCGCACAGGUCGUUGCCAUCUAGCAGAGCCACAUAGCAAACUGAGAAGCCUCCUGGAUCUUAGCGGUGCAGACAGAAAGGGCUUGAACUCAAGCAGCAAAAACGAAGCCAGCGAGCAGGGGAAAAGUCAGAGGCAGUGGCCCAGGGUGAUAGACAGCGAAGGCUGGCAUCUCUGAAUCCAGAUUUCAGGACCUGAACUGGCAAGGUUCUAUGUUCAGAAGAAAAGCCUCCUGGGAGUUUUCUUGGGGGGCAGCGCAUUGAGGAUCGGUGUGGCUUGGGAGGCUGCUGUGGACAACAUUCGAUCCCUGGCCCGAGAACUUGGCUGAAAAAAAAAAAAAAAGAUGAUGUGGGAAAUGAAAAAAUAGAAGCAGAGCACACAGUGAGUGCUUCCCUCCCACAUCCUGGCACUUGGGGGAUGUCUGGCUUGAACACGUAACCCAAGAGGGAAGGGGGGUCACUGCACAACUGGGAGGACUAGACACUUGCAGACCCCAGAGACCCUCCCAUAUCCUUCGGACACGAACACUGAUAGCAGGAGCCCAGUCCAGUUAAACCAGACUUCUUAGGAGUGGAGCCCACGUCCAUAUUCCAUGAAGCUUUCUAGGUGACGCCAACAUGCUGCCAGGCUAAGAACCACUGCUUUAGAUUCCGAUGAAUAUAAACUGUAAAGCCAGGGGCCCUCUUGUGUGUUUGUUUUCUGCUCUAUCCCCUGGCAUCUAGCACAGUGCCUGGUACAUGGUAGAAAUUGAAUACAGAUUUAUUACAGGAAAGGAGAGUGUGUGAAACAAGGCAUUUCUAUAAUAGAAACAAAUCUGUAUAUGGUGAGGCCAUGCAGGGAACUCUACUCAACAUCUUGUAAUAACCUAGAAUGGAAAAGACUCUAAAAAAGAAUACAUACAUUUAUAUAUGUAUUUGUAUCACUUUGCUGUAUACCAGAAACUAACACGGCACUGUAAAUCAACUGUAUUUCAAUACAAAUUUAAAAAAAAUUAGGCCACACAGGGCAUGUAUAGAGGGGAGUUACCUCCCAGCCCCCACAAGAACCCUGUGGUCACACACACGUUUGUCCCUUGCUGUCCCAGCACAAGCAAACACGCAGCACCCGCUCAGUCGCUCCCGAGUGUCAAGACAGUUGUGGCUGUCCUCUGGAUCUAGGCUAUUUAGUUGACCCCAAAUCACCCAGGGCUGUGGUCCAGUUGACUUCCUCCGUUCCCUCCAGAAGUGCUGGUGUGACAGCAUGGCUCACAGAGAAGAGGCUUGAACCCUAACACUUUCAGCUGCAUGCAGCCCACUACGGGCUGUUAUCUCUCUCCACCAGCAGCUGAGGAAUAGUCAGGGGUCACUUCCAGCGGUGUUUUCUUCCUUCCUGUUCUUGCUCAGGGUCCGGCAGUAAUGACUUUGGCAGAAGUGUUGGGUCACCUUUUCCCAGAGUCAGGCGACCCUGUCUCCCUGGCUGCUGGCUGAGAGGAGCCUUGAGAAGGGGAGCCAAGGAGGAGCCCUGGGUGUGGACUUGGAGCAUCUGAGUUAGUCUGGCGGAGGAGCAUUUCAUCAGCAUCUCUACAGGCCCAGGGAGUCUGUCAUCUAUUGCCAGGCUUGGGUACCACUGUCUAGAGCUGCAGGAGCCACAUGUUUGAUAGUGGGUAGAACCAGUGUUGGUCUCGGUCCUUCCUCUACUUUAGCAGCGUAGUGUUAACCCACUUCGGACAGCGCAGUGUGCCUGCCUGUGUCAAAUCUUUGAGCUGGGUUGGGAUCUCAUUUUUUAUCUCCCCAUUUCCACCGAGAAAGACGGCAUAGGAAAAAAAAAUCUGGAAAUAAGACAAGCCUUAAUUCAAACCUCGACAGUGCUACUGAUAUCUCUUAAACUCAGUUUUAACAUCUAUAAAAGGCAGAUGAUAUAAUUUACUGGGCAGGUUUAUUGUGAGGCAUAGAUCUUAGGGCUAUUGUGAGAUGGUGUUGUUUGAAUCCUAUGGAAGUAUUAUUUCACCAUUGGGCUCUGAGCUCUUUGAAGGUACAGACAGCAUUUUCUGUUUGUCUUUGUAUCCUUAACCUCUAACACAGUAAAUAGCUGGCACAUACUAGAUGCUUAAGGUAAACUUCUCAGAGCAGUCUGCCCAGAUGCUUCAUCUCAGGAUCCCCUAUAUAUCCCAUUAUACCCUCUUGGUUUCAUUCAUGGCCUCAACUUGCUAUAUUUGCUUGUGUAUCCUCUUUCUCCAAAUUAGACUGUCAUUUCUAUGCUGUCAGGACUUUGUCUUGGUGUUCAAAGUCUAGAACCGUGUCUGGUACACAGUAGGUGCUCAACAUAUGUGUAUCCAGUGGAGAAAGGAAGAAAUGGCAGCUAUUUUACGAGGACUCAUAGUAGCAGUGAUUGCACGAUGAACUGGAAUCAAUCCAAACAGAAAAAUGAAUUGUCUCUGGACAGCUCAGCAGAAGGGGUGAGCACCGCCAGAAGCCCUUGGAGUUUCCUCCUCAGAGAAUUCUGCCUGGGAACCUUUCUUUAGGGCUGGUGAUUUCCUCAGGCCUCCGCCAGGAGGCCCUUCAUGCUGAAGUGAGCAGCGUGAAUGAGGUUUCAGGACCCGGACAAGGGCUGCCUCGGAAGGAGCCUGAACUGGGGCCCUCUGAGGCGUGGGGGAGGGGGCCACACCCUCUCCUGGGCUUGGCACCAGGGGAAGGCUCCAGACGGCGCGGGCUCUGUGCCAGCCUGCUUGGUUCCAGUGGGAAAGCUGACCUUGGCCAGGAAGAACCAGGAAGAGGCACAAAUGACUCAUUGUCCCACAUCCUCCAAGGUGAAAACCCAGCAGUGUGUGUGGCCUCUGGGGCUGGACGCUAUUGCAGCCUUGGCUCCCUCCGCAGCCCAAAUAAAAGCAGUCGGCCAGCAACUCCGGCGCAGCCCAGGAAUACAACGCAUGGAUGUCACCCAUUGUCCCGUUCCACACACUUCCCUGCACUGAAAGUUCCUGAACACCGUGUGUAAGUUCCAGUUCUAAAAGUGGAGCACUAUUUCCUUCUAAAGACUUAAGACAGCCUUCAUUUCCAAUCAAGGGCAUGUGACAUUGUAUGGACUCGUGGAAGAAACGGGAUCUAUUUUCAGGUCACGUGUGAAGAAGGUUGCGGUGGAAUGUGCUUUAUUUUUAUUCACGAGUUUGGGAUCCAAGUCACAUUUGUAAGAUGCGCCACUGCCUUAAGAUUCCCACUAGAGGGCACUCUUGGAAAAUAUUUAUAAGUACAUAUUUUAUUGCUGUCAAGGAAAUGCUGUUUUUUAGAAGAAGGGUGGGGGAGGGAACCCGCCAACCGGUCUGAAUUUCAGGACAAGCCCUUUGCCUUCACUGGGAACUACUCCUGAUUCUUUCAGAAGCGCAGCGAGAGAAGGAAGCUGGAGAGCCCAGGGCAGCUGCUUUCUUGUCCUCUGUCCUUUUAUCCACGUGGAACGCAGCUGGCCCUCCGGCCUGAGCCCAAAUCCCCUCUGCGUCAUGGGGUGGGGGGCGCGCAGCCCCACCUGCCUGGAGAUUCCUCUUGGAAAAGGGCUUAGAGAUGCUGAACUUGGAGGCUUACGGUUUGGUUGGGGGCCUUCCCUUGCAAGCUAGCAGUGGCCGGAAAUCCUCAGAAAAGUGCCAGAAAGGGUCAGAAGGGUGGCUGGGGCGCCAAACAAUUAAAAAUAGGGCUUCCGGGCAGGCAGCCAUGGAGAUCUGGCUCGAUAUGUAAAUAAGUGUAAAUAAGAGCAAGCCUCGGUGCUUGCUGGAAGAGUGCUGUGCACAUUUUGUGCAGCCAGGGUUGCGGGGGGGGGGGGGGGGGGCGGCCCUUAUUCUGCAUACAGCCCAAUUUGUAGAAGAAAAAACUUUUUUUUCUACCACAAAAGAAAAUAGCUCCAUUGAGUUCCAUUGGCGGGGCAAGGGAGGAGAUUAUUCUUAAAGUUAGAUUUUGUAUUCAACGAAUAGAAGAGUGUCAAUGAACAAAUGAGAACUGAUUUUUAGCCACUAACGCCUUGAUUCUGGAGCAUAGCUGAUACCUAGCACUCAACUCUCCCAUCCUUGAACAUAAACUACUUCUAUCCCGGGCUCUGUCCCACUGCUGUGUGUCACCUUUUAAAGUUGACAUUAAUUCACUCAUGUGAGUGACUUCAUUUCAUCCUGGAAUGAGCUCCGUGAGGGGGUGUUACCAUCAUCAUCCCUAUUUCACAGAAGGAAACCAAACUCAGAAAGGGGCAAAGACACACAGCAGUGGGACAGAGCCUGGGACAGAGGCAGUUUACAUUCUUCCGGGAAUCUCUUACUGAGCAUCCGCCAUACACCUGGCCCCCUGCGCUAGGUGUGAUCUGCUGCUGUUUCUUGUGCUUCCUCAGAAAAAAAAAGGAAAAAAAAAAAAAAAAAAAAAAAAAAAAA
Molecule: long non-coding RNA, 7480 nt
Organism: Sus scrofa (pig)
Lineage: Eukaryota; Metazoa; Chordata; Mammalia; Artiodactyla; Suidae
Source: RefSeq, a predicted model, not a curated record